This 1686-nucleotide non-coding RNA is filed under the name Pongo abelii (Sumatran orangutan). Lineage: Eukaryota; Metazoa; Chordata; Mammalia; Primates; Hominidae. The record is from RNAcentral.
UAAAGUGUUAAAGUUCCUUAACUCCAUUCAGCCCUGCGCCAGGAUCGUUAGCUAUUGAUCUGGGCCCCUCCGACACUUAACUCCAGCCAGCAUAUUGGCAAUUCAAUUAGCACCAGUCAAUGCUGCGUGUUCCUGGCUCCUGCUGCCCAUGCCCUCGCCCUUGCCCACCACUGGCUCUUCAAAGCCCGACGCCCAUGCCCACCUCUGGCAGCCCCUUGCAGGCUCUUCUCCUGCACCCUCUGGAUCAAUGGUGCCUGGCUGGCUGUUCCCGGCCUCUGCUGGUACAACCUUAGCUGCCUAAGGGUGACUCUAAGCCCAGCCUUAGGGCUGAAGACCUCCUAGGAGACAGGAAGAGGCUGGGAAGCUUGUCAGGGGCCUCUUCCCACCCCUGCUGCCUUUGGAUCAUGCCCACAGCUCCUAUCUCCUUCCAAGAAGCCCUGGCCCAGCAAAACACAGGUUCUCUCUCCUUCCUGCCCAGCUCCAGCCUGCCACCCUCCAGCAUUACUAGGACAUUAGUCACUACUCAGAAUCACUGGGUGGUUCCUCUUCACCCUCUUCCUGUUCUAUGUCAUCCACCCAGCAAAGCCCCUGCCCUUCUUUGCCCCUCCACUCAAGGUAGCCUCCACGGUGCCUGACACGCUCAUUCUGUCUUACCCCUUCACAGCUUCUUCCCAUUUAGUAUAGGUGGCCCACAGGCCCGCUUCUCCUUCCUUGUAUCUCUAACUCCGCAGCCCCCAUGCUCCCCACAUCCUGCUGCCCUCCCUGCCCAGCUCUUAUUCUCCAGUCCCCUCUUCCUCACCGGGAGUCCGGAGCUGCCCGUGGCUGAAGCUCAGGAUGCUCUGAAGAGCUGCGAGUCCUUCCUCAGCGGUUGGGCCAUUCUGUAGCAGCUGCAGAUGCCUCUGGGCCUGGACAUCACGGUGGGCAGGUGUGCGCAGGUGUUGCAGCACAGCCAAGCGGGAGGGUGUCUCCCAUGCACACAACAGGCAGUGGUAUAGCCCCAGCUCUGCCCCUGCCUCUGCUCCCUCCAUGUCCAGCAGAAACUAGAACCAUGGGAAGAGGCUGGCUCAGGCCCAGAAGGGACAUGCCAGAUCUCAGGGGACUUUUUUUUUUUUUUUUCUCAAGAGAGUCUUGCCCUGUUGCCCAGGCUGGAGUGCAGUGGCACAAUCUCUACUCACUGCAGCCUCUACCUCCUGGGUUCAGUGAUUCUCAUGCCUCAGCCUCCCAAGUAGCUGGGAUUACAGGCAUGUGCACCACACCCGGCUAAUUUUUGUAUUUUUAGUAGAGAUGGGGUUUCACCAUGUUGGCCAGGCUGGUCUCGAACUCCUGACUUCAAGUGAUCCUCCCGCAUCAGCCUCCCAAAGUGCCGGGACUACAGGAGUGAGCCACCGCACCUAGCCUCAGGGGACUUCUUUGCCUCCCCUAAGGGAGACUGACUAGCAGCAGCCCCCUCCCCACCCCUCGCUUCCUCCUCCUGAAACCCCCCCCUUUCCCUCCUAUGGCCACCUAAGUAUUAUUGCUUGCUCUCCCCAACCCUUUCUCUUUCUCCUACCACUCGUGGACUCCCAGCAUGCAAAUGGAGUCUGGUUCCAUCCUCUUGAACCUCUGGUGACAUGACAAACUGAGCUGACACCACCCCUCCCUUCAGGGCCAAACACCAGAAGAGCUGAAUAAAGUCUGUUUCACUUG